AUACUUACCUGGCAGAGGAAAUACCAUGAUCAUGAAGGUGGUUUUCCCAGGGCGAGGCUUACCCAUUGCACUCCGGAUGUGCUGACCCCUGCGAUUUCCUCAAAUGUGGGAAACUCGGCUGCAUCAUUUCUGGUAGUGGGGGACUGCAUUCGCACUUUCCCCUG
This is a small nuclear RNA of Manis pentadactyla (Chinese pangolin), 164 nucleotides long. RefSeq annotates it as U1 spliceosomal RNA. Lineage: Eukaryota; Metazoa; Chordata; Mammalia; Pholidota; Manidae. The record is from RefSeq and is a predicted model, not a curated record. The transcript has a single exon.